This is a long non-coding RNA of Asterias rubens (European starfish), 2294 nucleotides long. RefSeq lists it as uncharacterized. The transcript is spliced from 4 exons. NCBI's taxonomy places the organism in Eukaryota, Metazoa, Echinodermata, Asteroidea, Forcipulatida, Asteriidae. The record is from RefSeq and is a predicted model, not a curated record.
UAUACUCUUAUGUUUGAAAGUAAAAAAAUACUAUUUCCAGGUGACUUUAAGGUCAGGAUACAACCUUAAAACCAUGGAAAUUUUGACAUUCUACUGCAUUCCACCGUUCAACAGCAAGCAUUUGAACUUUUGUAAUCCAAAAUCAUCAAAAUCACCCAUUACUUAAAAAACACUUUUUGGUAUUUUUUUUGUCUGUUGCGGAGGUCGGAUUUGCCUAAAAUUCUGUACAGCCUCAAGGCCUAUGACUAUAGAGCAAGUAUGUUAUGAACCACCCUACAAACCAUGAUCCGUUAACCCCCACAAGUCUGCAUGGUCUUCGCGUGGACAUGCACUGUGUACCCCGGCAUGGUGUACCACACUGAAAGCGUUUAGUACAUAUACCCUAUGCCACAGACCAUGCCCCCGUGUUUGCGAUCCCAUAUCGGCCAUGGUAUUAUGCGUGACCCUUCGACCGGCCGGCACCAGGUACGUACCGAGCUUGACCGGUACCCCUUCGACCGGCAUCACACACGGUGCUUAUAGCCAUGUUUCUACCGGCUGUACUUCCCGUGUGACGUGUGUCAGCACGGUGUGUAUUCUAGCGGCUAAUUAGGUAUUAAUUAGUGGACCGAUUGAGCUCCCUCCAAUAUGAAGUCUGGCAAGAGGUAUGGUCUACAAGAUUAUGUAUAAUUUUCCGUCUGUUAUGAAACAAAAAGGGUACAUUCACGCUCGGGGUGAGUGCAAGUUUUUUAGCAGAUGUUUUUUUAUUGAAAUUAUGGUCUGGAUGAUGAUGUCUUAAUUGUUGCGGCUAAUAAAUGGUUAAUUAUGCAACAAAUUAAUCUAAUUCUCCCUAUAUGUUUUAUUUUGCAGAAUUGUUGAACAAAAUUACUCUGAUUCACCUACUAUUAAACAAAUCGUUAAAAUGAGAAAGGGUGGGAGGUCAAAAUUCCACCGCCUUUAACUGCAUGGGUUCUCUCCUCGGUUACGAAAAUCAGGCCAGAAAUUGGGCCAGAAACGCGGCUAGCUGCAGCUCGGUGAGGGAUCGAGCGAGCGGGGGAUCGAGGUAGUUUAUGAGCGAGAGCGUCUUCCACCGAGGCUUCAUUUUCAGCGGUGUGAUGGGCAUAUUAAGAAGCUCACCAAACAACCGUGCACGUCGUUCGUUCGAUAGAGUUUGUUUGAAACAUCGCGAUGGCUGCUUACUCCUUUUUUCGGACUACAGUGUUUGCAUCUCUGGGAGUUGGCUGUUGGCUGCUGCCUGCGCAGAUAAUGAAAGCCUAACAACUUGGAACCUGUCUAGAAAUUCACUGCAGGCUGUCCGUGUGACUGUAAAUGUUUUGCUAUCUAGAAACUAAAAACUUCACUCCAACUACGGUUGUUCAUCCAUGUGAAUGUAACUAUCAUCAAUGGGUUAGUGUUAUAAGUUAAUCCCAUAUCUACUAACUUUGAACCUUAGUUUGUUUCAUCAAGCGAAACUUGCCCCGUGCACUGAGAUCUCUCUGUUGUGUUUUUACCUGAUCCAUUCCUCGGACAUUUGCAGGUAAAAUAAUUUGUUAUAAGUUUUAAAUUGUUCCAAAGCUGAUUUUGUGUCAUUCAUUAAAUUUAACCAAAGUUUAAUGAAUUGUUCUCCCCUGGAAUCCUUUUUAAAUUGAUUUUGUUUUUAAGUGAGUCAGAACACUCAAGUGGAACACUUUCUUUUCUAGGCUGUAGAGAUUGCACGGAAACUGUCUAAUGAGGACAGUAGUGGUGAACACGACGUCUAGAGUCCCCAUCAAGACAACUGCCUCAAACCAUCAUGAGAACACUGGUUGGAUGUUCGUACUGCCCUCAAAGUAAUUUGUUGCCAUGCUGGCUGUCCUUAGACAGGGUUGGCUGCUGCUAGAAAGCGUAGAUGGUGAAAGCAUGCCAACAGAAGGACAUCGGUGAAGGUUCUACAAGAUAGAUUGCUGUGACAUCAUUGAGGUAUAUGCACAUUUUAUGAGCCUUGUGAUUUUAUGAAACUUUUAUUUAACCUGUAUUAUUUCUCAACCACAACUAUGCCAUCUCUGAUACGCAGAGAAUAAAUGCUCAAUUCGCUACAAGUUCCUGACCCAAUGGUGUUCGAUCUCUUGAAAUUAUCAAUGUGUUGUCCAGCCUUUCAAAAGCUUCCCCACCAAAUGACUUUUGGUACUCUGACAUAACGUCUGUCGAUGUCAGUUUUUUUAAAUAACCGGUAUAUCAAAAAUUCAAUUUCGAGUAUACUCAGACUAAGCACUAAGGACUAGUCCUCGGACUAAGGGUCUUCUAUACCUGAAGUCAAUUUGAUUAGGAACCUAGUC